This 254-nucleotide ribosomal RNA is filed under the name uncultured bacterium. RNAcentral describes it as "partial 16S ribosomal RNA". It matches the Rfam family "Bacterial small subunit ribosomal RNA", at positions 524 to 776 of the family's 1533-position model. The record is from RNAcentral.
UACGGGGGGAGCAAGCGUUGUUCGGAUUUACUGGGCGUAAAGGGCGCGUAGGCGGUCAGCACAAGUCAGUUGUGAAAUCUCCGGGCUUAACUCGGAAAGGUCAACUGAUACUGUGCGACUAGAGUGCAGAAGGGGCAGCUGGAAUUCUCGGUGUAGCGGUGAAAUGCGUAGAUAUCUGGAGGAACACCGGUGGCGAAGGCGGCAUUCUGGACUGUAACUGACACUGAGGAACGAAAGCCAGGGGAGCAAACGGG